This 465-nucleotide ribosomal RNA is filed under the name Parapanteles sp. H KSP-2020. RNAcentral describes it as "partial 28S ribosomal RNA". Lineage: Eukaryota; Metazoa; Arthropoda; Insecta; Hymenoptera; Braconidae. The record is from RNAcentral.
AGAUCGAAUGAGGAGAUUCAUCGUCAGCGUAUUCAGUAUUGAUGCAGGCUAUGAUGUGAUAAUAGAAUCCUCGUGGUCACUAGAUUAUACUUGCUUGUAUCAUUUAUGCUGGGUAUGUCGGCGUGCACUUCUCCUCUAGUAGAACGUCGCAACCCGUUGGAUGUUUAUCUAUGGCUUGAAUGGKAGCCUUUGAKAUAUWUUAUAUUGAARACMUUUGUUGUAAAKUCUGCUGUUAGCUUGGUAAUGUCUUYAACUGGCUUAUUUACCGGUUAGCGAUGCUACUGCUUUGGGUACUUACAGGACCCGUCUUGAAACACGGACCAAGGAGUCUAACAUGUGCGCGAGUCAUUGGGAUAUAUUUAUAUAACUCAAACCUAAAGGCGUAAUGAAAGUAUAGAUUGUCUUAAGACAAUUGAGGGAAGAUGGGUUGCGUUACGAUGUAAUCCCGCAUUCCCGGGACGUUCC